RNAcentral lists this long non-coding RNA (2709 nucleotides) under Strigops habroptila (Kakapo). Its description in RNAcentral is "lncRNA (ENSSHBG00005011271.1)". Lineage: Eukaryota; Metazoa; Chordata; Aves; Psittaciformes; Psittacidae. The record is from RNAcentral.
GCCGCCGGGCCGGAGAGUUUGGGACGCGCCGGGAAGUUGUGCUGGGUGUGCAGCCGCUGCCGCUCCCACCAUGUCGGGCUCCUCCAACGUGGCGGCCAUGAAGAAGGUGGUGCAGCAGCUGCGCCUGGAGGCCAGCGUGACUCGCGUGAAGGUUUCUCAGGCUGCAGCAGACUUGAAGCAGUUCUGCCUGCAGAAUGCACAACAUGAUCCCCUACUGACAGGAGUAUCAUCGAGUACAAAUCCAUUCAGACCCCAGAAAGUUUGUUCAUUUUUGUAAUUACAUGAACUACUUUGGUAUCUUUCAGUGGUAAGUUCUUGAAUUACUAUUCAUAUAUGGUUCUGUCAUUAAAAAUAGCUGGCUUUAAUUAAAUGAGACUGCCUGUAUUAAAAGUAUUCAGAAGAGACAUCUGACUUCUGCAGCUGGUAUUGGUCUAGAUCCCCAUUUUGGGCCCCUCCUCCCCUAUUCUGGUUGUAGCUCUAUACUGGACGCAUGCUGUUCAUAAGUAUUUUGAGCAACAUUUAUGUUGUAGGGCUUCUUCUGGUCUCUCCUGCAGCAAAGUAGUAGUGGGGCCAGCUACUACUGUUAGGAGUAAUUUGGUUGUCAGCAAUUCUGCUGUAUUUUCUUUCUAUGUAAGGGUGUUAUUUCCCUUUUUGCACAUAGGAUUACCCACCUGACAGCAUACAUGGUGAAUCCUGAUUGUGACAGAUAAAGCAGACUUUCAUUCUUAAACUUUUAAAGAGCACCAUCAAAGAUGAGUGGUAGCCUCCAAGAGCACUGUCCCCUACAGGAGAUGCCCUCUAAGCCACAAGAAAAAAGAAUUUUGUCAAGGCACCUACUCUACUCAUACAAGCUACUAAAUGGCUAGCAGGUUUAAGUAAGUGGAAACAGUUGAAUACUCAUUUGGAUUUUCAUUCCAAAACUUUUAUAACUUCAGUAGCACUACUGCUAUCACUAUGAAGACUACUCAUCUGGUAUUCCUUGGAAAUUCUGAUUAGAUUUUAGACUAACCUUUUAGAAAGGUGAGUUGUAGAUCCACAGGAGUCUCACCGAGACUCACAAUAAUUUGCUAUUUUGCCCACAGUAAAUGCAUGAUAAUUUUAUCAUGUCCCUCUUCCGACUGCCCCUUGAUUUGGAUCUGUUGGGGGCAAGGGCAUAUACGUUAUUUCAAAGCACCCUAUACGCACUUAACCAUAGUGCACAAUCCUUAGACAUCUCAUAGUGAGUCCUAGCCUUGAAGAAUUCUGGUUUUGUAGCUGACUUAUAUUACCCAAAGAAUUGUAAUUUGCUAGAUUUAUGUUGUGUUAUUUAGGCAGCUUUAUAGAAAGGUGACCAUAGUCAGACUGGGUUGUUAGAAUUCUUUAAAACUGUUCUCCCGUCAAGCAGACUGUAGAAAGCUCCCAAAAAGUUUGUGUAUAAACAAGGUGGUUCAUGCUUGUAAUAACAGUAUAGAGGUUGAUGCUUAACUAUUUAACAAAACCACUUCCCCCAUUGUUUUGAGCAGUGAAUUACAGCAGUGUAACUGAAGUGUGCUUUAGAGUUCUUGCAGCUUUUAAAGUUAUUUCUAUUGUGAAUUUUAUCAACUAAUCUUAUUUAAAAGAUUUUAUUCUUGGACACUGACUUGUGUUCACACUACUGUAGCUUCAGCUCUAAGCAGUAAUUCAAGGAAGAAAUGAGAUCAUGUGUAAGCAUUAUGAACUGCUAACCUAUAAAAAGACAAACUCUACUUUUAUCAGUGAUGCAUACUUGCCCACUGAGGUUUGCCAAGGUCUGGUAAUGCCUGGGUGUGGAUGUCAGGAAAUAACAUUUCCUCUGUCUUACACUUAUGCACACACUGGGCAUAAAAGGCUUAAUAUUUUCUUUCUCAACUACAGACCUUAUCUUCCCUCUUUCUGAAUUUGGAACGUAGCACUUGCUUCUGCUGAAGUUACAGGCAAAAGUCAUUAUAACAGCAGCUUAAGUUACACUACCUAUAUGGAAAAUAUCUUUCACUUUAUCUCUUGCAAGCACAUCCUCAAAAUAGGCAAUUUCUUAGUUGUAAUCCUGGUGUUUUCACAAUGAACCCCUGGAGUUCAUGUUUGCAGUCAGUAACACCUCUGUGGAGUGAAGAGGAAGUGUAAUUUGUUAGUUACAGACUUCCCCUGCUUUUCAAAGGCAAAGUAAAUGCCUGGUAUUUCAUUAGGUGCCAAGUGAUUUGGAACUACUUUUUCUGUCCUUCCACUUCACAGUUUGGCUCCCAGGAUACACUAAGCUUCAGUUCUUUUCCAACAGCUUUGAUUAUUGUCUUGUGCCCUUGGGCUUCAUGGUUUUAAGUUUACUUUAUAGACCAAUAGUUUUAUAAGACAGCUGGGGGAAAAAAAGAUUUUGUUUUUCCUAAGUAGCUGUAACAUGGAAUACUCUGAAGGUGCAUGUUCUUAGAAUUGCUGUAUUUAGGACUGAUACUUUUCUAACUGCCUUUUGUUUUUUAUUUUCAGAUCUUCUAGCAUCUUUUCCUAGCUGCUGAUGUGUGUAUGGGUAGAGUGCCUCAAGGAGUGGCCUGGUUUGAAGUCUGUACAAAAGCUUAGCUUUCAUGUGCCAAAUCUAACUGUAAAAUUGCUACUGUCGAACUUCUUACCAUCUACCUCUCCAAAUGAACUGUAUGCUAGUAAAAUACUUCUGUUUCAUAAGGGAAUCAGUUUUAUAUGCCAAGCAAAAAAUAAAAGUGUCUUGAC